Molecule: ribosomal RNA, 482 nt
Filed under: uncultured bacterium
Lineage: Bacteria
Description: partial 16S ribosomal RNA
Rfam family: Bacterial small subunit ribosomal RNA
Source: RNAcentral
AUUGAACGCUGGCGGCAUGCCUUACACAUGCAAGUCGAACGGUAACGGGCCUUCGGGUGCCGACGAGUGGCGAACGGGUGAGUAAUACAUCGGAACGUGCCCGAUCGUGGGGGAUAACGAGGCGAAAGCUUUGCUAAUACCGCAUACGAUCUACGGAUGAAAGCAGGGGACCGCAAGGCCUUGCGCGGACGGUGCGGCCGAUGGCAGAUUAGGUCGUUGGUGGGAUAAAAGCUUACCAAGCCGACGAUCUGUAGCUGGUCUGAGAGGAUGAUCAGCCACACUGGAACUGAGACACGGCCCAGACUCCUACGGGAGGCAGCAGUGGGGAAUGUUGGACAAUGGGCGCAAGCCUGAUCCAGCCAUGCCGCGUGCAGGAUGAAGGCCUUCGGGUUGUAAACUGCUUUUGUACGGAACGAAAAGCCUUCUUUUAAUACAGGAGGGUCAUGACGGUACCGUAAGAAUAAGCACCGGCUAACUACGUG